Molecule: transfer RNA, 69 nt
Filed under: Ictidomys tridecemlineatus (thirteen-lined ground squirrel)
Lineage: Eukaryota; Metazoa; Chordata; Mammalia; Rodentia; Sciuridae
Description: Spermophilus tridecemlineatus (thirteen-lined ground squirrel) tRNA
Rfam family: tRNA
About the family: Transfer RNA (tRNA) molecules are approximately 80 nucleotides in length. Their secondary structure includes four short double-helical elements and three loops (D, anti-codon, and T loops).
Source: Rfam by way of RNAcentral
GGGGUUGUGGCUUAGUGGUAGAGUGCUUGCCUAGCACUCGUGAGGACCUGGGUUCAAUUCUCAGCACCA